UCCUUUUUUUUUUUUUUUUUUUUUGUGUGUGGUACCAGGGAUCGAACUCAGAACCUCGAGCUUGUGAGGCAGGCAUGGUGCCACUGAGCUAAAUCCCCAGCCCAGUGUGGGGGUAUUUUGUAGAUGUGCUUAAGUUCCAUAAAUACUUGACUUCUAGAAAGAUUACUCUAGAUAAUCAGGAGUGGUGGUCCUGAUUCAUUCAGUUGAAGAGCUUUAAGAGCAGUACUGUGACUUCCCUGAUAAUGAAGAAAGUCGGCAUAUAGACAGCCUCUUUGACCCAUGCCCACAAGUUGCAGCCUGCCCUUCCUCAUGACCUAUCCUACAGAUUUGGGGGUGAUUAGCUAGACCCCACAACUACAUAAGUCAUAUUCCUGCAAUAAAUCUCUUUAUAUUAGUUUGCUUCUCUGGUAGAAUUCUGACAGAUCCAUUUGACCAUGUGUGGUGUAUGUAGAUGUCUUAUCUUCCCAGCCAAACUUAAGGGCAGAAACUAGAGGGAAUACUAAGUGUUAGGCCUUUUAACAUGUGAACUCAUCUUAUCUUUGAAACCUCCUGUGAGGUUUAUAAUCACUAUUUUACAAAAAAUAACUUGCUAAAACUUAGCUUGGAAAUGGCAAAGUUCAAAGUCAACACUGAAGUUCUCUUACUUCAAAGUGUACAACAUUGAACAACAAAAGCAGAUAUGACCCCUCACCCAAAAAUGGGCAGAGAUGAAAGCUAUGUAAGCCAAGACGGGUUAUGAUAGUUAAACAAAUGUAAGCAGUUUGUCCAAUCCUACUGAUAUCCUGUCAUCCCCAACCCCUACACCCUGAUCUCAGCCUGGAGGCGAUGCCCGACUGGGACAGCUACAGCAGUCUUCUGAGACACCUCUGAAUUACAGAGAUGGACACAGCAGUUACAAGUGUUGGGACACUUGUUCCAAGUCACACCAAAGCAAGUCAAGGGCUUGAGAACGUCCUCUCUAUCCAGUAGGUACAUCAGAGCAUCAUUCAGUGCUGGACGGCCAGCACUGGGGAUUGAACCCACUGGCACAUAUUCUGGUGGGAUAACUGGUGGCAUGCAUGAGGAGAAGAACAUGUCACCGGGAGUCUACCGGAGUCAAGAGUAACUGACAUGGCAGCCCACGUGAACCAAGGAGAUGUCCUGGACCCAAGCUCAGCCUAGCAAAGCUGAGCUCCAGCUGACCCAUGGAUGUUUAUGAGAAAUAAACGCUGACUGUAUGCCACUGAGCUCUGGGGAAAGGUGUUCUGCAGCCCUGCCAUAACAACUAUUAUCUCUUUACAAGAACUACGAGAGGAACUGUUCCUCACUGUGUACACAGAGAGACUGAGAAACACAGAGAGGGUGAGUGUAGGCCAAACUACUUACAAGCAGGAGAAUUAGGAUUUGAAUUGAGGCAACUUGGCUUCAGAGACUAAUAGUUCUAUUUUAC
RNAcentral lists this long non-coding RNA (1429 nucleotides) under Fukomys damarensis (Damara mole-rat). Its description in RNAcentral is "lncRNA (ENSFDAG00000029279.1)". Lineage: Eukaryota; Metazoa; Chordata; Mammalia; Rodentia; Bathyergidae. The record is from RNAcentral.